GAUGAAGAACGUAGCGAAAUGCGAUACGUAAUGUGAAUUGCAGAAUUCAGUGAAUCAUCGAAUCUUUGAACGCAUAUUGCGCUCUCUGGUAUUCCGGAGAGCAUGCUUGUUUGAGUAUCAGUAAACACCUCAACUUCCAUAUCUUUUUUGAAAUGGGAGUUGGACUUGAGUGAUCCCAACGCUUUUCCUCACCGAAAAGUGGCGGGUUACUUGAAAUGCAGGUGCAGCUGGACUUUUCUCUGAGCUAUAAGCAUAUCUAUUUAGUCUGCCUAAAAAACAGAUUAUUACCUUUGCUGCAGCUAACAUAAAGGAGAUUAGUUCUUGUGCUGACUGAUGCAGGAUUCACAAAGACAGGCUUCGGCCGACUUCGUAAACUCGAUCUCAAAUCAAGUAAGACUACCCGCUGAACUUAAGCAUAUCAAUAAGCGGAGGA
Molecule: unclassified non-coding RNA, 433 nt
Filed under: soil metagenome
Description: partial contains 5.8S ribosomal RNA, internal transcribed spacer 2, and large subunit ribosomal RNA
Rfam family: 5.8S ribosomal RNA (bases 1-120)
Source: RNAcentral